RNAcentral lists this non-coding RNA (148 nucleotides) under unclassified sequences. RNAcentral's name for it is "RT-16 RNA". It matches the Rfam family "RT-16 RNA". From Rfam's summary of the family: candidate division DUSEL4 (Archaea). The record is from Rfam by way of RNAcentral.
UCCUAGCUCGUGCAUUCCAAUUGUUGAAUGCAAAGAGUAGCUGGAACUACACGCCUUUCCGCUAUGGCAGCUUGCUGCUAUAAAAUGCACCCAUGACAGCUAAUGCCUGAAAUGGUGGUGAAAACAGAAAGUGGAAUGGCUACUUAGG